Molecule: non-coding RNA, 30 nt
Filed under: Rattus norvegicus (Norway rat)
Lineage: Eukaryota; Metazoa; Chordata; Mammalia; Rodentia; Muridae
Source: RNAcentral
UGGUCCUUCCGCCGAGAUGGCUUGAGCUAU